CCUGCCUCACAAGGGUUGCUCACAACCGCCUUUCACGGGC
This 40-nucleotide ribosomal RNA is filed under the name Trimorphomyces sakaeraticus. RNAcentral describes it as "partial 26S ribosomal RNA gene". The record is from RNAcentral. Lineage: Eukaryota; Fungi; Basidiomycota; Tremellomycetes; Tremellales; Trimorphomycetaceae.